CAUUUUUGAACAUUACUGUUCGAGAAUAAGUGUUUAUUAAAUUAAAUUGUUUUUGCAGUGCAAUAUUUACUUUGAUGUCUGCUAAUGAGCAGUCCUGCUUAGAACCCCCCCCCCCCCCCUGCAAGUAACGUAUAUUACUUCCAAAGGCUACUGACCAUAUGAUUAAGCAUCUUCAGACAAUUGAAAGCACACUACAUGUGACACAUCAAAUAACAAUAUGCCUGAGGUACAAUAGGUUAUUUUGCACAUAGCAGGGUGGAUACCGUGAUGAACUGACAGUGCCUUUAUCCCUGCUGUAAUAUGAGGCCGGAUAUGGUCCUCAAUAUAUGUAAAUUAUACAGUUUGCCUCUGAGCGCUGCCACGUUCGAUUCGCAUAUAAGAUUCAAAUGACAUUUCCACGUACUUUAACGCAGUAGGUAUUCAAAUUAUGUUUAUUACCACUUUCGACACAUUUUUGUCUACAAUGUAGCAUUCAGCAAUUUUACCCAAAAAAAAAUAGAGGAUGAAGAAUAAUUAUGGUAGCAAUCAAGUUACUGCGAAAACCUAUUUGAUUAGCGGCCACACUUUACUCAAAUUGCAGCUAUAAAAUUAAGAACAAUUCGCCUGUAAUGAUUAUGGACCGGAUUUAUUUUGGGAGGGUGGAAUAAAAGUGGAUAUAGCAUAAAUUAUCCCCUAAUUAUACGCCAGCGUCGCCUCAAUUAUCCUCUUAUCAAAAAUGGUUGUCUAAAUGCAGCGUUUAGUUUUCAAUUUUCUCCUUUUCUGUAACCAGAACUUGGUACCUUGCUAUUAUCGUUCCGGUUGUUAUUUACUUUGUGGGAUUUAAAAAGUGCACAACUCAGCCGGAUAAAUCAUUUUUACAGCAGCGGACCACGAGAGCACAGAGGCAGGGAUGUGAGCCCCAAGAAAGGAUUUAUUUCAUGCUUCCAAAACUCUUCUAUUUUUCGAAAUUAUAUUUUACAAACAGGCUGCCUCUUUUGUCGCCAGGAGCACUGAAGGUACGCCUCCAUCCCCUCUUGGCAGCUACACCCCCCCAAGUCCUCCCUCUCCCUGGUUGGUUUCCACAGCUGUGGUGAGUGAGGGGCAGAUGACCGGAGAAUUGGCCCCUGGGAGAGCGCUGAGCCAUCCUGGUGCUAUUAGGCUCGUGGCUAAUAAUAGGUGUUUCAGACCAGGGGAAGAUCAAUCAGGGGGAAUCAUGGGGAAUGUUCGGAGCAGCGCUUUUUACACAUCGGCCCAGAUGGAUGAAAUUACACUUGUCAGUUUUUAGUUGCAUUACUCCCAAAUUGGUUGUCUGCUCUUCUUUUUCUCUCUCUCUCUCUCCCUUCCUCUCUCUCCCUCCCUCGCUCUCUCUCUUCUCUCGCGUUGCCCUCAUUCAUGUGUCAGUGGCCUGCUAAAGGGAUUCAAUGGUGAAAUCCCUGUCAUUUUUGUCUCUUUGCUGUUUAGCCCUCAGCCAGCGACUCUGUUGCCUGCAGAUGCACUUUGAAGAAAUCCGUUUCAGGUCUGGUCUCAUGACUUGGGGCCUUUGACAUGUUAAAGGCAGGUGUGCAGGUGUCUAAUGUACCUUUUAUUGAUCCUCUAACACAAUUUAUCUGAUAAUCAGUUCAUAAUGUUUCAAAAAUUGCAAUGUUUUGCUUUCGCAUUUGUUUGUUCCGUGUCACAGUUAGCUGGAUACUUUGGUGUUUAUAUAUUGUUGGUUGGACAAAAACAAGUUUAGAAGAUGUCACAUUUUUAAUAAUCCAUGUUUUGUCCUGAGUGUGUAAUAAAGGAUACAAAUGAUGCAUUCUUUAUGUUGAAUUACACAUAUUCGUGUUUAAACCAAACUUAUAAAUGUGUCAUUUUGUUGUAAUCGCAAAAUUAUCUAUUUGUGAUGUAAAUGAGUCUGUCAGGUGGAAAGGAAACUUGUGGUGUAUCUCAUGAAACUGAAUAAAACACACAGUACUCAC
Non-coding RNA from Gasterosteus aculeatus aculeatus (three-spined stickleback), 1940 nucleotides. The record is from RefSeq and is a predicted model, not a curated record. NCBI's taxonomy places the organism in Eukaryota, Metazoa, Chordata, Actinopteri, Perciformes, Gasterosteidae.